Molecule: ribosomal RNA, 253 nt
Filed under: uncultured bacterium
Lineage: Bacteria
Description: partial 16S ribosomal RNA
Rfam family: Bacterial small subunit ribosomal RNA
Source: RNAcentral
UACGUAGGGGGCAAGCGUUGUCCGGAAUCAUUGGGCGUAAAGCGCGUGUAGGCGGUUCGGUAAGUCGGCUGUGAAAGUCCAGGGCUCAACCCUGGGAUGCCGGUCGAUACUGCCGGACUAGAGUUCGGAAGAGGCGAGUGGAAUUCCCGGUGUAGCGGUGGAAUGCGCAGAUAUCAGGAAGAACACCCGUGGCGAAGGCGGCUCUCUGGGACGGUACUGACGCUGAGACGCGAAAGCGUGGGGAGCGAACAGG